CAGUAGCCGCGGUAAAACGGAGGGUGCAAGCGUUAAUCGGAAUUACUGGGCGUAAAGCGCACGCAGGCGGUCUGACAAGUCAGAUGUGAAAUCCCCGGGCUUAACCUGGGAACUGCAUUUGAAACUGUCAGGCUGGAGUCUUGUAGAGGGGGGUGGAAUUCCAGGUGUAGCGGUGAAAUGCGUAGAGAUCUGGAGGAAUACCGGUGGCGAAGGCGGCCCCCUGGACAAAGACUGACGCUCAGGUGCGAAAGCGUGGGGAGCAAACAGGAUUAGAUACCCGUGUAGUCCCUGUCUCUUAUAC
This 301-nucleotide ribosomal RNA is filed under the name uncultured bacterium. RNAcentral describes it as "partial 16S ribosomal RNA". It matches the Rfam family "Bacterial small subunit ribosomal RNA", at positions 509 to 807 of the family's 1533-position model. The record is from RNAcentral.